Balaenoptera acutorostrata (minke whale) is the source of this 402-nucleotide long non-coding RNA. RefSeq lists it as uncharacterized. The record is from RefSeq and is a predicted model, not a curated record. The transcript is spliced from 3 exons. Lineage: Eukaryota; Metazoa; Chordata; Mammalia; Artiodactyla; Balaenopteridae.
UCCGUGGACUAACUGUGUGAGGCUCUCAGUAAGUGUCCUAAGGUGGGAAUUUGACUUGGACCGUGGGCGGCAGUCACUCAGCUGGCGAGUCUAGCCACCCUCCAGCCACCACAUCUGAGCUGCCGUGGACGCCCCGUCCUUGCAAACAGAUGUAACGUCACCUCCUCGUGCUAAUGGUAGAGGGGAAGGAAGAGGAAACAGAUGGUGCUUGGCCAGAAUUUGACUGGAAGAAGCAGAUGCUGCUUCUGGCCCAGUGUGAAGGAGCUGGCCGGGAGCCUCGUGCUGGUGCUGCAGGACAGGAAGGCAGGGCAAGGCAAGAAGGCAGAACCAACCUCUUUCCCGAGAUGGCUCUUUUCUCCAACACUGCGAUCUUCUGGGACACAGGCACUUUCUCAGGGCUGG